Apus apus (common swift) is the source of this 730-nucleotide long non-coding RNA. RefSeq lists it as uncharacterized. The transcript is spliced from 3 exons. The record is from RefSeq and is a predicted model, not a curated record. Lineage: Eukaryota; Metazoa; Chordata; Aves; Apodiformes; Apodidae.
CAGAGCCCCAGGUGUCUCCAUGGCAGGAUAACUUCAGAGAUGGUGGAACCUUGAAGUCCUGGCCACUGCUUUCGAGUGACUCCACAGGUCUUCUAAACCAUUCCCAACAGGAGGAGGUGAAAUAGCAGUGAUGAUAGAAAAGCUGUUCUGGUGUCAGUCCUUUGGAAUACAGAGAAAACCAGCUAGAGCCCCAAAAUGGCUCUUUUGCACCUGCCUGCUGCCUUUCGCUCUCUUCCAGCUGGUAUUGCUGGUGCAAAUAGUUCCUGCUGUGGACUGUACAUUGCAGUAAAUCCUCACAUACCCAUCUGGGGACCAGCCAUAGGUGGUACUAGUGAUUACUUAGAUAAUUCAUGUGCUUAAGGAUCAUGACAUGCAUGUGGAAUGAGAAGAAACAUGGUAGGACAGCUGAUAAAACUAUCCAAGUGCCUUUAACAGUGUAUGCAGGUCAAUAAGGAAAUUGUGAAUAGAGGUGAAGUAGCCCCAGUACUGAAAACCUGAAGACCAUGCUAUAUUGACUGCUCAUUUACUUUGGGUACGGCUGACUUAGACUAUUAUCAAAAGCAGAUACUAUCUCCCUGUAGUCAAUACAGAUUAUUUGAGUCAGAGGAGUGGUGAUCUGAGCAACACAUUUUGUCUUGUUUUGUUUCUUCUAUCUCCCUCUAAAUAAAUAACUGAACAGUUUAAAAGACUAUAGCAAAUUAUGUACAAUGAGCUCUUUAGCAGUUCUGGA